UUGCAGAGGACUUUUGAGAUACCAGAUGAUCGUAGACGCUACAUACUUAGUUUGGCCGGCAAAAGAUAUAGAGGGUGGAAAGCUUUUUUGACAAACACCUAUCUUAAGGAUAAAGAUGGAAACUUUCUUGAAGAGGCACCGGGACGGCCAAAAAAGUAUGAGAUCUUCAUUGAUGAAAAAGAUUAGGCUGAGUUUGUAAAGCAAAGAGAUGAAGAUUUUCGGAAAAGGAGUGCCACGAAUAGUGCGAGAGCAUCCAAACCCGCGUAUCCAUACAAAAAAGGGCGUUUGGGAUAUGCACGCUUAGAGGAUAAAAUUGUAAAGGAGACUAAAAGUGAGGAAACUUCACUUCCUGUACAUGUGUUGUGGAAGGAAGCUCGUGUGGGCAAGAAUCAAGCUGUCGAUCCCGAUGUUCAGAGAGUUUAUACUGAAUGUGAGACCUUGUCGCAAUCGGUAUCCACCGGUGAGGGGAGCGUACUUAGUAGAGCACUAGAUGCUCCUGAGUAUCCCGGUCGGGUGAGGGGUAAGGGUCAUGGUGUGACUCCAACCUCUUUUUACAAGAGUCCUAGGAGAAGAUCAAAUCUUACCAAUGAAGAAGUGUUGCAAAAGUUGCAGGAAUUGCAAGCACAAGUCUCUGAAUUGCAAAGAGAUAAAGAUAUGUAUAUGAGAGAAAAGUGCAACACUUCAUCGGUGAAAGAAACUAGUGAUAAGGCUAGUAUCAACUGUCAAAGGAAAUUU
Molecule: long non-coding RNA, 735 nt
Organism: Vicia villosa (hairy vetch)
Lineage: Eukaryota; Viridiplantae; Streptophyta; Magnoliopsida; Fabales; Fabaceae
Exons: 3
Source: RefSeq, a predicted model, not a curated record